RNAcentral lists this unclassified non-coding RNA (178 nucleotides) under uncultured fungus. RNAcentral describes it as "sequence contains ITS1". Lineage: Eukaryota; Fungi. The record is from RNAcentral.
UUAUUAAAUUAACUUUAUACUCCGACGUAAGAAUGCAGUGUUUUGAUGACCUCCGGGGGGAAUGCCGUCGAAACGGCAGGGUCGCCCCCGAAGCAACAAGAUGUGUUCACAAAGGGUUGGAGGUUCGGGAUUGCUCCCUAACUCAGUAAUGAUCCCUCCGCAGGUUCACCUACGGAGA